CCUACGGGAGGCAGCAGUGAGGAAUAUUGGUCAAUGGACGAGAGUCUGAACCAGCCAAGUAGCGUGAAGGAUGACUGCCCUAUGGGUUGUAAACUUCUUUUAUAUGGGAAUAAAAUGUUCCACGUGUGGGAUUUUGUAUGUACCAUAUGAAUAAGGAUCGGCUAACUCCGUGCCAGCAGCCGCGGUAAUACGGAGGAUCCGAGCGUUAUCCGGAUUUAUUGGGUUUAAAGGGAGCGUAGGUGGAUUGUUAAGUCAGUUGUGAAAGUUUGCGGCUCAACCGUAAAAUUGCAGUUGAAACUGGCAGUCUUGAGUACAGUAGAGGUGGGCGGAAUUCGUGGUGUAGCGGUGAAAUGCUUAGAGAUCACGAAGAACUCCGAUUGCGAAGGCAGUUCACUGGACUGUAACUGACACUGAGGCUCGAAAGUGUGGGUAUCAAACAGGAUUAGAUACCCGAGUAGUC
Molecule: ribosomal RNA, 460 nt
Filed under: uncultured bacterium
Lineage: Bacteria
Description: partial 16S ribosomal RNA
Rfam family: Bacterial small subunit ribosomal RNA
Source: RNAcentral